CAAUAAAGACAAGACCAAAGUUUCUUGUUCUAUAAGUUACCUUAACCAAUUACCAAAAGAAAUGAAUGAAAAUGCUAAUAGAUGUCAAAAAUGACACUUUGAACCACUUUCUAAAGUAGUGGAAAGUUUUAACUUUUCAGUAAAAUCUGGAAAUAUUCAAGGUACUUAGCUGUAAGCACCAAGGAUCCGGAGGUAUUCAGGCACACAUAAAAUCAGCUAGACAGAGUCAGACCAAACUUUUAUUUCAAGCUUUGAACCCGCUUGCUGACAAGAUCACAAAUGCAGAGGUGAAGGUGACUACUUUUCUACUGUAUCACGACAUACCACUCGCUAUAGCUGAUCAUCUGUCCCCAUUCCAGAAGAACAUAUUUCCUGAGAGUAAAAUUGCUGAGAAGUUUUAGACCGCCAGAACUAAAAUGACAUGUGUGAUUAAUGGAGCAUUAGCUACCGAAUGCUGGAAAACUAUUGUGAAUCAUAUGCAGUCAAACCCAUUUUUUACUGUCAACAGAUGGAUCAAAUGACAAUGGCCUUGAAAAAAUUAAUCGCCCUCACAGUGAGAGUAUUUAACAUACAGAAACGUGUUGUGAUAUCACAAUUAAUAGACAUGUGCCUGCAUUGUGGUAAAGAUGCUAGAAGGGCAGCAUCGAUAUCGAAAUUUAAGAAGAUUGAUGAAGUUAUGGAAGCUAAUGGCAUAUCGUGUAAAAAUUGUCUUGGAUUUUUAGUGGACAUCACCAACACCAACCUUGUAAAACACAACUCUAUAAAAUCACAUGCUAUGCAAAAAAAACCCAAAAUGUAUUCCAUGGGGUGCCCAUGUCAUAUUGUUCACAACACAGAAGAAAUGGGC
This is a long non-coding RNA of Limulus polyphemus (Atlantic horseshoe crab), 847 nucleotides long. RefSeq lists it as uncharacterized. The transcript is spliced from 3 exons. The record is from RefSeq and is a predicted model, not a curated record. Lineage: Eukaryota; Metazoa; Arthropoda; Merostomata; Xiphosura; Limulidae.